AAGCGGUGGAUGAUGUGGUUUAAUUCGAUGCAACGCGAAAACCUUACCACCUUUGACAUGUACGGAAGCCUUUAGAGAUAGAGGCGUGCUCGAAAGAGAGCCGUAACACAGGUGCUGCAUGGCUGUCGUCAGCUCGUGUCGUGAGAUGUUGGGUUAAGUCCCGCAACGAGCGCAACCCUUGUCAUUAGUUGCUACAUUCAGUUGGGCACUCUAAUGAGACUGCCGGUGACAAGCCGGAGGAAGGUGGGGAUGACGUCAAGUCCUCAUGGCCCUUAUAGGUGGGGCUACACACGUCAUACAAUGGCUGGUACAAAGGGUUGCCAACCCGCGAGGGGGAGCUAAUCCCAUAAAGCCAGUCGUAGUCCGGAUCGUAGUCUGCAACUCGACUACGUGAAGUCGGAAUCGCUAGUAAUCGUGGAUCAGAAUGUCACGGUGAAUACGUUCCCGGGUCUU
RNAcentral lists this ribosomal RNA (453 nucleotides) under uncultured Rhodoferax sp. Its description in RNAcentral is "bacterial SSU rRNA". It matches the Rfam family "Bacterial small subunit ribosomal RNA", at positions 927 to 1382 of the family's 1533-position model. The record is from RNAcentral. Lineage: Bacteria; Pseudomonadati; Pseudomonadota; Betaproteobacteria; Burkholderiales; Comamonadaceae.